CCUCCACCACUGCCGACAGACCGGGCUCUUGGUGGUUUGCCGUCUGCCUCGACCGGUUGCGGUGAGUGGAUAGAGGAGAGAGAAAAGAAAAGCAUCAGGACACGACAAACAAACAGUUACUGGACAGGUUAAUGUGGCCGGUGACUGCUCAUCAGAAACGCAGAGCUCUGGAGCCAGAAAGGCUCUGACAUACCUCUACGGUUCAAGCGGAUGUCUGCGAGGCCCACCAUCCUGGCCCGGCUGAACUCGAUCAAUAGAGCUAAGAUGGACCAUUGGUUGCUGGUCACGUAAGCUUUGCUGGGGGAAUGUUUGUGUCUGUGACUGGACUCUCCUCUAGAUCUAUGUUAAUCACACACAGGCCCAUAAGAUCCUCUCGUCUGGAUGUUCCAGUUCUGUAUUCUUCUUAUAAUCUCUGACUCACCGAGCACCAAACACGCACUGUAUGAUGAAUCCCUCAAACUUUGUGUUGUUUUCAGUAAGUGCUUUCCUGGCAGUUAUGCAUAGUAGUAGCAUGGCUCUAAGAAUGGCAGUCAGUAGGAGCAGCACUUCAGUCUUGACUGAAUAUGUCGAUAAAUAUACUGUAGGAUGGGUUAUGUGAAAUUUAGCACAGGUGUUCGUGGUCCCUACAGGCUGAAUGCUAAUGACGUUGGUGAUUUAGUGCCACCUGCACAUCAGACUUUUCACUUGUACUGGAUGGAUUGGCACUAAAUUUUGACAUUUACUGUAUGUUUCCAGACAGUGUAUCAGAAUGACUUUGGGGAUCCCCUGACUUUUCUUCUGGCGCCACAGUGAGAUACUUUGAGUUCAGCAUCCACUGGACCAGAUCUCUUCAGCUGCAACUUUAUACCAGCUGUGAAUGAUGGAAGGUAACAGUUUCCCACCUGUGAGUGUGCACCUCUCAUUGGCUGAUUCGAAUAUAAGGGACCCAAUCGGAGCAGGAGGCUUUCUUUGUUUUGUUUGUGCCUUUAGUGAUGGAACAGAAACGGCUCUAUUUUAGGUUCGUUAAAGAAGAAGGAGGAGGAGACAGGCCAGACAAG
Molecule: long non-coding RNA, 1037 nt
Organism: Monopterus albus (swamp eel)
Lineage: Eukaryota; Metazoa; Chordata; Actinopteri; Synbranchiformes; Synbranchidae
Exons: 5
Source: RefSeq, a predicted model, not a curated record